Nycticebus coucang (slow loris) is the source of this 107-nucleotide small nuclear RNA. NCBI's taxonomy places the organism in Eukaryota, Metazoa, Chordata, Mammalia, Primates, Lorisidae. The record is from RefSeq and is a predicted model, not a curated record.
GUGCUUGCCUUGGCAGUACAUAUACUAAAAUUGGAAUGAUACAGAGAAGAUUAGCAUGGGUCCUGUUCAAGGAUGAUAUGCAAAUUCAUGUGAAGCCUUUCAUGUCA